RNAcentral lists this long non-coding RNA (285 nucleotides) under Gossypium raimondii (Peruvian cotton). RNAcentral's name for it is "long non-coding RNA (GRAI_LNC006119)". Lineage: Eukaryota; Viridiplantae; Streptophyta; Magnoliopsida; Malvales; Malvaceae. The record is from RNAcentral.
UAAAGGGUAGUUUAGGCUUUAGCCAAUAGUUGAUCCAGAUGAAUUGUUGAAUAGAUCACCAAUCAAUGUAAUUAAUUAAAAAUUAAGCAAAAUUAGCAUAAAGGUAAGAAAUAAAAAAAAAAGAGGUAUUGAGGAUGUGAAAGUCUGAUAACAAACACGAGACCGUCUCGCCCCAUACCGAAGAAAAGCCAGCCCGACUCCAAGAGAAGAACCAACCCUCCCCCCCCCCCCCAAAAAAAAAAAUCCAAAGCAAAUAUCGUAAUUCCUCUUGGCUCAUUCUUUCAC